GGGAAAGAUCGUGCCUGCUAGAGGCCCUAACGAUUUUGGGUGGGAUCCUGUGUUCUAGCCAGAUGGUUUUGAACAAACAUAUGCUGAGAUGCCCAAGUCAGUGAAGAACGAAAUAUCUCACAGAGGGAAAGCUCUUGCUCUGGUGAAAGAACACUUCGCAUCUGCUAGCUAUACAGUUCAGAGCGACGACUCAGCUUAAAGUUUGACUUGGAUUCCUAGACGAAUGAACUGUCAUUCUGGAAUGUAAACUGAACUACUACUUUUA
Zea mays is the source of this 265-nucleotide long non-coding RNA. RefSeq lists it as uncharacterized. The transcript is spliced from 2 exons. NCBI's taxonomy places the organism in Eukaryota, Viridiplantae, Streptophyta, Magnoliopsida, Poales, Poaceae. The record is from RefSeq and is a predicted model, not a curated record.